RNAcentral lists this ribosomal RNA (358 nucleotides) under uncultured Alphaproteobacteria bacterium. RNAcentral describes it as "bacterial SSU rRNA". It matches the Rfam family "Bacterial small subunit ribosomal RNA", at positions 114 to 507 of the family's 1533-position model. The record is from RNAcentral. Lineage: Bacteria; Pseudomonadati; Pseudomonadota; Alphaproteobacteria.
CACGUGGGAACGUGCCUUUCAGUUCGGAACAACUCAGGGAAACUUGAGCUAAUGCCGGAUACGCCCUUCGGGGGAAAGAUUUAUCGCUGAAAGAUCAGCCCGCGUUGGAUUAGCUAGUUGGUGAGGUAACGGCUCACCAAGGCGGCGAUCCAUAGCUGAUCUGAGAGGAUGAUCAGCCACACUGGGACUGAGACACGGCCCAGACUCCUACGGGAGGCAGCAGUGGGGAAUCUUGGACAAUGGGCGCAAGCCUGAUCCAGCCAUGCCGCGUGAGUGAUGAAGGUCUUCGGAUUGUAAAACUCUUUCGUCAGGGACGAUAAUGACUGUACCUGAAGAAGAAGCCCCGGCUAACUUCGUG